RNAcentral lists this ribosomal RNA (468 nucleotides) under uncultured bacterium. RNAcentral describes it as "partial 16S ribosomal RNA". It matches the Rfam family "Bacterial small subunit ribosomal RNA", at positions 28 to 507 of the family's 1533-position model. The record is from RNAcentral.
GACGAACGCUGGCGGCGUGCUUAACACAUGCAAGUCGAACGGAAAGGCCCUGCUUUUGUGGGGUGCUCGAGUGGCGAACGGGUGAGUAACACGUGAGUAACCUGCCCUUGACUUUGGGAUAACUUCAGGAAACUGGGGCUAAUACCGGAUAGGAGCUCCUGCUGCAUGGUGGGGGUUGGAAAGUUUCGGCGGUUGGGGAUGGACUCGCGGCUUAUCAGCUUGUUGGUGGGGUAGUGGCUUACCAAGGCUUUGACGGGUAGCCGGCCUGAGAGGGUGACCGGCCACAUUGGGACUGAGAUACGGCGCAGACUCCAACGGGAGGCAGCAGUAGGGAAUAUUGCACAAUGGGCGGAAGCCUGAUGCAGCAACGCCGCGUGCGGGAUGACGGCCUUCGGGUUGUAAACCGCUUUCGCCUGUGACGAAGCGUGAGUGACGGUAAUGGGUAAAGAAGCACCGGCUAACUACGUG